This 1705-nucleotide small RNA is filed under the name Pongo abelii (Sumatran orangutan). RNAcentral's name for it is "processed transcript". Lineage: Eukaryota; Metazoa; Chordata; Mammalia; Primates; Hominidae. The record is from RNAcentral.
GCCACAGCCCGCGCAGUUGCCGGGGAUCGCGCUCAGCCCCGCGAGCCGAGGCAGCGCAGCCUAGGGAGGGGGCUGCCCCGGCCCCCUCCUGCAGCCCGGGCCCCCAGAGGCUCGGCCUUCCUCGCAGGAAGGCGAAGUCCCCGGUGCCAGGUCCGGGGACCAGCAGCCGAGAACGCCCGGGUCCCGGAGCCAACAGGCAGGCUCCGAGUGCCCUCGCUCCCCGCGCCUUCCCGGAGCCCCCCGCAGCCCCCGAGGUGCAGGAAGGUCCCGCGGACGGAGCGGGCCUGCCGGCAUUCAGUGGGGUUCUUGGUGAAGCACUUGGCACGCAUCGGAGCUCAUUACUCCUCAUCGUGGUCCUGUAAGGAAGUUUGAGGCUGAGACCUGAAAACACCUGGGUGCAAGCCUCCAGGCACCCUGAAGGGAGUGGGCUGAGGGCUGGCCCAGGUUCCCUCCUCUCCCUCUGCAGAGCCUAGGAUGCCUCUCCGCUACAGCGGCUCCUGAGCUCAUGGAGCCCUCAGCCACCCCAGGGGCCCAGAUGGGGGUCCCCCCUGCCAGCAGAGAGCCGUCCCCUGUGCCUCCAGACUAUGAAGACGAGUUUCUCCGCUAUCUGUGGCGUGAUUAUCUGUACCCAAAACAGUACGAGUGGGUCCUCAUCGCAGCCUAUGUGGCUGUGUUCGUCGUGGCCCUGGUGGGCAACACGCUGGGCCGUGUCCGUGUCAGUGGCAGUGCUAACUCUCAGCUUCAUCGCCCUGGACCGCUGGUAUGCCAUCUGCCACCCACUAUUGUUCAAGAGCACAGCCCGGCGGGCCCGUGGCUCCAUCCUGGGCAUCUGGGCUGUGUCGCUGGCCGUCAUGGUGCCCCAGGCUGCAGUCAUGGAAUGCAGCAGUGUGCUGCCCGAGCUAGCCAACCGCACACGGCUCUUCUCGGUCUGUGAUGAACGCUGGGCAGAUGACCUCUAUCCCAAGAUCUACCACAGUUGCUUCUUUAUUGUCACCUACCUGGCCCCACUGGGCCUCAUGGCCAUGGCCUAUUUCCAGAUAUUCCGCAAGCUCUGGGGCCGCCAGAUCCCCGGCACCACCUCAGCACUGGUGCGGAACUGGAAGCGCCCCUCAGACCAGCUGGGGGACCUGGAGCAGGGCCUGAGUGGAGAGCCCCAGCCCCGGGCCCGCGCCUUCCUGGCUGAAGUGAAGCAGAUGCGUGCGCGGAGGAAGACAGCCAAGAUGCUGAUGGUGGUGCUGCUGGUCUUCGCCCUCUGCUACCUGCCCAUCAGUGUCCUCAAUGUCCUUAAGAGGGUGUUCGGGAUGUUCCGCCAAGCCAGCGACCGUGAAGCUGUCUACGCCUGCUUCACCUUCUCCCACUGGCUGGUGUACGCCAACAGCGCUGCCAACCCCAUCAUCUACAACUUCCUCAGUGGCCUUCCCUGGAGUCUGCUCUAAAGGUCCCAACAGGCAUUUCCAUCUUGUUCCGUGGCUCCCUGAAGCCCAGGGCUGCACUUGGCCAGCUGUUCUGAUGCCUGUGUGAACCAAUCUGGGCCCAGUCUUUCUCCAGUGGGCCACGAGCGCAGCCCCACCCUAACCAGGUGCCAAGGGCACACACCACAGACCCGACCUUGUUGGCUUUGUGGUGUGAUAAAAACACUCUCCAUGGCCACUUGGCACAGAGGCCAGCAGCCCGAAGCAACUGUAAUUAAAAGCCUGGCACUGAA